This 497-nucleotide ribosomal RNA is filed under the name uncultured bacterium. RNAcentral's name for it is "partial 16S ribosomal RNA". It matches the Rfam family "Bacterial small subunit ribosomal RNA", at positions 28 to 507 of the family's 1533-position model. The record is from RNAcentral.
GACGAACGCUGGCGGCGUGCCUAAUACAUGCAAGUUGAGCGCUGAAGGUUGGUACUUGUACCAACUGGAUGAGCAGCGAACGGGUGAGUAACGCGUGGGGAAUCUGCCUUUGAGCGGGGGACAACAUUUGGAAACGAAUGCUAAUACCGCAUAAAAACUUUAAACACAAGUUUUAAGUUUGAAAGAUGCAAUUGCAUCACUCAAAGAUGAUCCCGCGUUGUAUUAGCUAGUUGGUGAGGUAAAGGCUCACCAAGGCGAUGAUACAUAGCCGACCUGAGAGGGUGAUCGGCCACAUUGGGACUGAGACACGGCCCAAACUCCUACGGGGGGCAGCAGUAGGGAAUCUUCGGCAAUUGACGAAAGUCUGACCGAGCAACGCCGCGGGAGUGAAGAAGGGUUUCGGAUCGGAAAACUCUGUUGGUAGAGAAGAACGUUGGUGAGAGUGGAAAGCUCAUCAAGUGACGGUAACUACCCAGAAAGGGACGGCUAACUACGUG